CGGCGUGCUUAACACAUGCAAGUCGAACGCUGAAGCCCAGCUUGCUGGGUGGAUGAGUGGCGAACGGGUGAGUAACACGUGAGUAACCUGCCCCCUUCUUUGGGAUAACGCCCGGAAACGGGUGCUAAUACUGGAUAUUCACUGAUCUUCGCAUGGGGGUUGGUGGAAAGGUUUUUUCUGGUGGGGGAUGGGCUCGCGGCCUAUCAGCUUGUUGGUGGGGUGAUGGCCUACCAAGGCUUUGACGGGUAGCCGGCCUGAGAGGGUGACCGGUCACAUUGGGACUGAGAUACGGCCCAGACUCCUACGGGAGGCAGCAGUGGGGAAUAUUGCACAAUGGGCGAAAGCCUGAUGCAGCGACGCCGCGUGAGGGAUGGAGGCCUUCGGGUUGUAAACCUCUUUCGCUCAUGGUCAAGCCGCAACGAUGGUUGUGGUGAGGGUAGUGGGUAAAGAAGCGCCGGCUAACUACGUGCCAGCAGCCGCG
RNAcentral lists this ribosomal RNA (481 nucleotides) under Schaalia odontolytica. RNAcentral describes it as "bacterial SSU rRNA". It matches the Rfam family "Bacterial small subunit ribosomal RNA", at positions 40 to 519 of the family's 1533-position model. The record is from RNAcentral. Lineage: Bacteria; Bacillati; Actinomycetota; Actinomycetes; Actinomycetales; Actinomycetaceae.